RNAcentral lists this ribosomal RNA (515 nucleotides) under uncultured bacterium. Its description in RNAcentral is "partial 16S ribosomal RNA". It matches the Rfam family "Bacterial small subunit ribosomal RNA", at positions 28 to 523 of the family's 1533-position model. The record is from RNAcentral.
GAUGAACGCUGGCGGCGUGCCUAAUACAUGCAAGUCGAGCGAAUGGAUUAAGAGCUUGCUCUUAUGAAGUUAGCGGCGGACGGGUGAGUAACACGUGGGUAACCUGCCCAUAAGACUGGGAUAACUCCGGGAAACCGGGGCUAAUACCGGAUAACAUUUUGAACCGCAUGGUUCGAAAUUGAAAGGCGGCUUCGGCUGUCACUUAGGGAUGGACCCGCGUCGCAUUAGCUAGUUGGUGAGGUAACGGCUCACAAAGGCAACGAUGCGUAGCCGACCUGAGAGGGUGAUCGGCCACACUGGGACUGAGACACAGCCCAGACUCCUACGGGAGGCAGCAGUAGGGAAUCUUCCGCAAUGGACGAAAGUCUGACGGAGCAACGCCGCGUGAGUGAUGAAGGCUUUCGGGUCGUAAAACUCUGUUGUUAGGGAAGAACAAGUGCUAGUUGAAUAAGCUGGCACCUUGACGGUACCUAACCAGAAAGCCACGGCUAACUACGUGCCAGCCGCCGCAGUAA